Molecule: ribosomal RNA, 600 nt
Filed under: Escherichia fergusonii
Lineage: Bacteria; Pseudomonadati; Pseudomonadota; Gammaproteobacteria; Enterobacterales; Enterobacteriaceae
Description: bacterial SSU rRNA
Rfam family: Bacterial small subunit ribosomal RNA
Source: RNAcentral
CUGCGGCGCUACCAUGCAAGUCGAACGGUAACAGGAAACAGCUUGCUGUUUCGCUGACGAGUGGCGGACGGGUGAGUAAUGUCUGGGAAACUGCCUGAUGGAGGGGGAUAACUACUGGAAACGGUAGCUAAUACCGCAUAACGUCGCAAGACCAAAGAGGGGGACCUUCGGGCCUCUUGCCAUCGGAUGUGCCCAGAUGGGAUUAGCUAGUAGGUGGGGUAACGGCUCACCUAGGCGACGAUCCCUAGCUGGUCUGAGAGGAUGACCAGCCACACUGGAACUGAGACACGGUCCAGACUCCUACGGGAGGCAGCAGUGGGGAAUAUUGCACAAUGGGCGCAAGCCUGAUGCAGCCAUGCCGCGUGUAUGAAGAAGGCCUUCGGGUUGUAAAGUACUUUCAGCGGGGAGGAAGGGAGUAAAGUUAAUACCUUUGCUCAUUGACGUUACCCGCAGAAGAAGCACCGGCUAACUCCGUGCCAGCAGCCGCGGUAAUACGGAGGGUGCAAGCGUUAAUCGGAAUUACUGGGCGUAAAGCGCACGCAGGCGGUUUGUUAAGUCAGAUGUGAAAUCCCCGGGCUCAACCUGGGAACUGCAUCUGAU